UCAAGUGAAGAAGCGCAUACGGUGGAUGCCUUGGCAGUCAGAGGCGAUGAAAGACGUGGUAGCCUGCGAAAAGCUUCGGGGAGUCGGCAAACAGACUUUGAUCCGGAGAUCUCUGAAUGGGGGAACCCACCUAGGAUAACCUAGGUAUCUUGUACUGAAUCCAUAGGUGCAAGAGGCGAACCAGGGGAACUGAAACAUCUAAGUACCCUGAGGAAAAGAAAUCAACCGAGAUUCCCUUAGUAGUGGCGAGCGAACGGGGAUUAGCCCUUAAGCUUCAUUGAUUUUAGCGGAACGCUCUGGAAAGUGCGGCCAUAGUGGGUGAUAGCCCCGUACGCGAAAGGAUCUUUGAAGUGAAAUCGAGUAGGACGGAGCACGAGAAACUUUGUCUGAACAUGGGGGGACCAUCCUCCAAGGCUAAAUACUACUGACUGACCGAUAGUGAACCAGUACCGUGAGGGAAAGGCGAAAAGAACCCCGGAGAGGGGAGUGAAAUAGAACCUGAAACCGUAUGCGUACAAGCAGUGGGAGCCUACUUGUUAGGUGACUGCGUACCUUUUGUAUAAUGGGUCAGCGACUUAUAUUCAGUGGCAAGCUUAACCGUAUAGGGUAGGCGUAGCGAAAGCGAGUCUUAAUAGGGCGUUUAGUCGCUGGGUAUAGACCCGAAACCGGGCGAUCUAUCCAUGAGCAGGUUGAAGGUUAGGUAACACUGACUGGAGGACCGAACCCACUCCCGUUGAAAAGGUAGGGGAUGACUUGUGGAUCGGAGUGAAAGGCUAAUCAAGCUCGGAGAUAGCUGGUUCUCCUCGAAAGCUAUUUAGGUAGCGCCUCAUGUAUCACUCUGGGGGGUAGAGCACUGUUUCGGCUAGGGGGUCAUCCCGACUUACCAAACCGAUGCAAACUCCGAAUACCCAGAAGUGCCGAGCAUGGGAGACACACGGCGGGUGCUAACGUCCGUCGUGAAAAGGGAAACAACCCAGACCGCCAGCUAAGGUCCCAAAGUUGUGGUUAAGUGGUAAACGAUGUGGGAAGGCUUAGACAGCUAGGAGGUUGGCUUAGAAGCAGCCACCCUUUAAAGAAAGCGUAAUAGCUCACUAGUCGAGUCGGCCUGCGCGGAAGAUGUAACGGGGCUCAAACCACACACCGAAGCUGCGGGUGUCACGUAAGUGACGCGGUAGAGGAGCGUUCUGUAAGCCUGUGAAGGUGAGUUGAGAAGCUUGCUGGAGGUAUCAGAAGUGCGAAUGCUGACAUGAGUAACGACAAUGGGUGUGAAAAACACCCACGCCGAAAGACCAAGGGUUCCUGCGCAACGUUAAUCGACGCAGGGUUAGUCGGUUCCUAAGGCGAGGCUGAAAAGCGUAGUCGAUGGGAAACAGGUUAAUAUUCCUGUACUUCUGGUUACUGCGAUGGAGGGACGGAGAAGGCUAGGCCAGCUUGGCGUUGGUUGUCCAAGUUUAAGGUGGUAGGCUGAAAUCUUAGGUAAAUCCGGGGUUUCAAGGCCGAGAGCUGAUGACGAGUCGUCUUUUAGAUGACGAAGUGGUUGAUGCCAUGCUUCCAAGAAAAGCUUCUAAGCUUCAGGUAACCAGGAACCGUACCCCAAACCGACACAGGUGGUCGGGUAGAGAAUACCAAGGCGCUUGAGAGAACUCGGGUGAAGGAACUAGGCAAAAUGGCACCGUAACUUCGGGAGAAGGUGCGCCGGCUAGGGUGAAGGAUUUACUCCGUAAGCCCUGGCUGGUCGAAGAUACCAGGCCGCUGCGACUGUUUAUUAAAAACACAGCACUCUGCAAACACGAAAGUGGACGUAUAGGGUGUGACGCCUGCCCGGUGCCGGAAGGUUAAUUGAUGGGGUUAGCGCAAGCGAAGCUCUUGAUCGAAGCCCCGGUAAACGGCGGCCGUAACUAUAACGGUCCUAAGGUAGCGAAAUUCCUUGUCGGGUAAGUUCCGACCUGCACGAAUGGCGUAACGAUGGCGGCGCUGUCUCCACCCGAGACUCAGUGAAAUUGAAAUCGCUGUGAAGAUGCAGUGUAUCCGCGGCUAGACGGAAAGACCCCGUGAACCUUUACUGUAGCUUUGCACUGGACUUUGAGCCUGCUUGUGUAGGAUAGGUGGGCUUUGAAGCGUGGACGCCAGUUCGCGUGGAGCCAUCCUUGAAAUACCACCCUGGCAUGCGUCAGCGAAAAAGACCUGGUGAUGAUCGAUCCGCUCGCGGCGGCCUAAUACUUUUUUUUCGGAGAAGUGUUUGACGAAAAAAAGCGUGAGACCUACUGCGACUAGGGAUGCGUUCAACGUGCCCCCUCAAAACCUGCGUUACUGCUUUGCCAAUCCGGGGUGUGGUCUAGGGAAUCACUUUUUCGUGGCCAUUUCGGCCGCUAUUCGAAUGGGGCCUGCGGUUCAAGAAACCCGUACACCGGGUCAUGCUCUUGUCCCAAUGGAAGCUCGGAAAACCAAGUAUGGGUAUAUAGCUACUUCGAAGUGACUCCAGGCAACACAGGCUACUCUCUUUUUAUGUGCUACUAAUCGCAUUGCCAAUCCGGAGUGUGGGCUCGAACUGCAGCGUCGGUGAGGCUUAAUACCUCCGCAGGGGUUGUACGUGACUGGUGUACGUUGCAUGGCGCGGAUACGGGGAUGAUGUUUUACGACUACACCCGUUACGCCAUCACCUGCGGAGGAAGAUUCUGCGCCGUAGGCUCAAUCAA
Molecule: ribosomal RNA, 2696 nt
Filed under: Pseudomonas aeruginosa VRFPA07
Lineage: Bacteria; Pseudomonadati; Pseudomonadota; Gammaproteobacteria; Pseudomonadales; Pseudomonadaceae
Description: bacterial LSU rRNA
Rfam family: Bacterial large subunit ribosomal RNA
Source: RNAcentral